AACUUCUGGUUUGGCGCGCGCGGCCCGCGGCGGCAACGUCGUGAGUGCCGUUGUGCGCCUGCCAUCCUUUUGGCGUUCGGGUGUGCCCUUCACUGGGAGAGCAUUCGGGUGUCCAGAUCUUUUACUUUGAAAAAAUUAGAGUGUUUAAAGCAGGCUUGCGCUAUGAAUACAUUAGCAUGGAAUAAUAAUUUAGGGCUUCUGUUCUAUUUUGUUGGUUUCUAGGAUGGAAGUAAUGAUUGAUAGGGAUAGUUGGGGGUGCUAGUAUUCAGCGGCCAGAGGUGAAAUUCUUGGAUUCGCUGAAGACUAACUUAUGCGAAAGCAUU
RNAcentral lists this ribosomal RNA (323 nucleotides) under Eocercomonas sp. RNAcentral's name for it is "SSU rRNA". The stretch from base 102 to 323 matches the Rfam family "Eukaryotic small subunit ribosomal RNA", at positions 732 to 955 of the family's 1831-position model. Lineage: Eukaryota; Cercozoa; Cercomonadida; Cercomonadidae. The record is from RNAcentral.